CGAAUGCUGACAUAAGUAACGAUAAAGCGGGUGAAAAGCCCGCUCGCCGGAAGACCAAGGGUUCCUGUCCAACGUUAAUCGGGGCAGGGUGAGUCGACCCCUAAGGCGAGGCCGAAAGGCGUAGUCGAUGGGAAACAGGUUAAUAUUCCUGUACUUGGUGUUACUGCGAAGGGGGGACGGAGAAGGCUAUGUUGGCCGGGCGACGGUUGUCCCGGUUUAAGCGUGUAGGCUGGUUUUCCA
RNAcentral lists this ribosomal RNA (240 nucleotides) under Escherichia coli. RNAcentral's name for it is "partial 23S ribosomal RNA". It matches the Rfam family "Bacterial large subunit ribosomal RNA", at positions 1291 to 1535 of the family's 2925-position model. Lineage: Bacteria; Pseudomonadati; Pseudomonadota; Gammaproteobacteria; Enterobacterales; Enterobacteriaceae. The record is from RNAcentral.